Molecule: ribosomal RNA, 504 nt
Filed under: uncultured bacterium
Lineage: Bacteria
Description: bacterial SSU rRNA
Rfam family: Bacterial small subunit ribosomal RNA
Source: RNAcentral
GAUGAACGCUAGCGGCAGGCCUAACACAUGCAAGUCGAGGGGUAACGUAGUUUGCUUGCAAACUGACGACGACCGGCGCACGGGUGCGUAACGCGUAUACAAUCUACCUUUUGCUGAGGGAUAGCCCAGAGAAAUUUGGAUUAACACCUCAUGGUAUAUAGAGAUGGCAUCGUUUUUAUAUUAAAGGUUACGGCAAAAGAUGAGUAUGCGUCCUAUUAGCUAGUUGGUAUGGUAACGGCAUACCAAGGCAACGAUAGGUAGGGGCCCUGAGAGGGGGAUCCCCCACACUGGUACUGAGACACGGACCAGACUCCUACGGGAGGCAGCAGUGAGGAAUAUUGGACAAUGGGCGGAAGCCUGAUCCAGCCAUGCCGCGUGCAGGAAGACUGCCCUAUGGGUUGUAAACUGCUUUUAUAUAGGAAGAAACCCACGCUCGUGCAGUGUGGCUGACGGUACUAUACGAAUAAGCAUCGGCUAACUCCGUGCCAGCCGCCGCCGUAACAC